CGGGGUGUGGCGCAGUUGGCUAGCGCGCCGCGUUUGGGACGCGGAGACCGGAGGUUCGAGUCCUCUCACCCCGACCA
This 77-nucleotide transfer RNA is filed under the name Candidatus Saccharimonadota bacterium. Its description in RNAcentral is "tRNA-Pro". It matches the Rfam family "tRNA". Rfam says of the family: Transfer RNA (tRNA) molecules are approximately 80 nucleotides in length. Their secondary structure includes four short double-helical elements and three loops (D, anti-codon, and T loops). Further hydrogen bonds mediate the characteristic L-shaped molecular structure. tRNAs have two regions of fundamental functional importance: the anti-codon, which is responsible for specific mRNA codon recognition, and the 3' end, to which the tRNAs corresponding amino acid is attached (by aminoacyl-tRNA synthetases). tRNAs cope with the degeneracy of the genetic code in two manners: having more than one tRNA (with a specific anti-codon) for a particular amino acid; and 'wobble' base-pairing, i.e. permitting non-standard base-pairing at the 3rd anti-codon position. The record is from RNAcentral. Lineage: Bacteria; Candidatus Saccharimonadota.